CUAUUUCUAACCAUUUUGGUGUUUCUAAUAAGUCACAAAUGACUUAACUAAGUGACUCUAAGAGCCUAAACCUGACCCUAGCCUAUAACUCUCAAAAUCACUACUCAGGUUCCCUAAUUUGACUUUGCCAUUAGAAUGAACUUAACUGUCUACCUAAGAUUCUGCAUAAUGUGAACUCAGUUUCUAUCGUACAAUUCCC
Molecule: long non-coding RNA, 199 nt
Filed under: Vigna radiata
Lineage: Eukaryota; Viridiplantae; Streptophyta; Magnoliopsida; Fabales; Fabaceae
Description: long non-coding RNA (VRAD_LNC015876)
Source: RNAcentral